AUCUCAGUUCAGAUUGCAGGCUGCAACUCGCCUGCAUGAAGUCGGAAUUGCUAGUAAUCGUAGGUCAGCAUACUACGGUGAAUACGUUCCCGGGCCUUGUACACACCGCCCGUCAAACCAUGAGAGUUGGCAACACCCGAAGUCGGUAGUCUAACCGCAAGGAGGACCGCCGCCGAAGGUGGGGUUGAUGAUUAGGGUUAAGUCGUAACAAGGUAAC
RNAcentral lists this ribosomal RNA (217 nucleotides) under uncultured bacterium. RNAcentral describes it as "partial 16S ribosomal RNA". It matches the Rfam family "Bacterial small subunit ribosomal RNA", at positions 1285 to 1500 of the family's 1533-position model. The record is from RNAcentral.